UCGCCCACUCCGGCCGCGCGGGGGAGCAGGGUAGAGACGGGGUUUCGUCAUGUUGGCCAGGCUGGUCUCCCACUCCUUCCCUCAAGUCAUCACCCUGAUUCGGCCUCCUGAAGUGCUGGGAUUACAAGCAUGAGCCACCACGCCCAGCCCCUAGGAGUGAAUGAUUUAAUGUCUGCACUAAGAAGGUUAUGGAGUAGCAGGGCACAGACAGGACUCCUGGAAGAAGAAAGAUACACUAGGAAGACCAGCAGAGCAGGAGAUGCAUUUUGUGUCCAGUAUAAAACUAAUUGGCAAAGUAAGG
Molecule: non-coding RNA, 301 nt
Organism: Macaca mulatta (Rhesus monkey)
Lineage: Eukaryota; Metazoa; Chordata; Mammalia; Primates; Cercopithecidae
Source: RefSeq, a predicted model, not a curated record